GUUCCGACUCCUUCCCCCGGCCCUCCGAGGCGGUGCUGUCCCUGACCGUACGGCUGGAGCUAGGUGGUAUUAUUGCCUUAGAAGAUCACAAUUUUACAACCAUCAUGUAAUGAAUAGAUUCAGAGCAGUAGAAAUUUCCAAGACUCGUUACUGGGAAAGGCAAUGAAAUUUCUGUAAGAGUCAGAGGAAAGAGCUUGCACUGGGAACCCUGCACCAGGCGGUUUAGGAGAUGCCGACCAUCAGAGCCAGAGAUGACCCUGAGAAGGGAAGAGAUCCCUGGGAAUUCACAGAAACCUGGGGGAUUUCAUUUGAACAAAAUUCUGGGAGAUGAAAAAAGAAGCCCAAGAAACUGCAGAAUUGCUGUAAUACCCUCAUUCGAUUGAUGGGGAGCCUAAGGUCAGAGGGUAGGGGCCCAGGAUACUCGGCAAACAAAAGCCAAUUCUGGGACUUGAGUUCUUUGGAUUCCUGGACAAGGCGUUUUACCCUCUGAACUCUUCCAGCCUGUCAGGUCUUUUCAAGAAGAAGAGUAAUAACCAUGUGAAGCCUGACCUUCAAGUGACCUCAGGCAUUUACUCCUCUCAGCCAUCUUCUUCAAGUCCUCCAGUGAUGUCAGGACUUCUGCAUGGCUGAGCCUCCCCUGCACCCCGCAGUGGCCCUGGAGGCAGAAGGUGCUCAUCAGUCUUCAAAAGCAGAGAGGAGAGGGAGCUGCCGCUUUUAUCAGCACCAGCAGCACCGGGCAGGCCCUAGGCAACGUGCCAGGGGCUGCAUCCACAUCCUGAUUUAACCACCAUCACCAGGCUCUGGGGGAGAGAUGGCUCCCACUUCACGGAUGAGAAAACGGGACACUCAGAGAGGAAAAGGCGGAUGAUCAGGAGGCCUUCAGCUGCUGGAAGCUUCAAACUGAGGGGUCUCUGCUGCCAAACCCUUCCUGCUCACGUCCUCCCCCUGCUUCCGGGUACUGGUCCCCAAAGGAAGCAAGGUUUCUAUCUGCUCCUUCCUUCCUAUGUAGGUCAAAUUCCGUUCCAGCAACUCGCUGGGCCUUGCCCAGUUUGAGCCAGGACAGCCCAGGCCCAAGCUCAGAAACCUCUCGGUCGCUUGGGUAGAUUUUGCUUUAAGCCCAGGUUGGUCAACUAUGGUCCGUGGCCAAAUCCAGCCUGCCAGCUAAGAAUGGGUUUUACAUUUUUAAGUGGCUGGGAAAAAAAAAAAAAAGGAAGACUAAUAUAUUGUGAUACAUGAAAAUUGUAUUAAAUUCAAAUUUCAGGGAAGUUCCCUGGCAGUCCAGUGGUUAGGACUCAGUGCUUUCACUGCUGUGGGCCUGAGGUUCAAUCCCUGGUUGGGGAACUAAGACCCGACAAGCCGUGUGGCUCGGCCAAAAAAAAAAAAAAAAAAAAAAAAAAAUUCAAAUUUCAGUUACCAUUAAUAACAUUUGAUUGGAACACAGCCAUACUUGCUUGUGAAGACUAUAUUGUUUAUGGCUGCCUUUGUGCUACAACAGCAGACCAUAUGGCCCACAGAGCCGAUGAUAUUUACUUACAAUUUAGCCCAUUACAGAAAAAAUUUGCCCAUCUCUGCACUCCCAGGUGCUCUGAAUUGCCAAGUGCAAACCCAACACACGAGCUGCACAGGACUUUUCAAAGCCUUCCAGGCAAAACCAAAUCAUCUUCCAAAAAGGUGUUAAAUGCAAACAAAUGACUCCCUGAGUCAGCACCCGGGCAUCUGGAGAAGCUGACACCCCAGAGAGGUACCCAUUCAGCGGAGAGGUGGGCACCAAUUUGACUAUGAUAAGAGUAAUUUGAUAAGACCAUGGGAAUAUGUAAAGGUCCCCAACACUCUCAGCAGACAAGUUGAAGUACCCCACUUGUGUGACCUUGAAAAAUCCUCUUCCCCUAAGACCUCCUGUUCUCCAUAAGAGAGGUUUCCUAAGAAUAAGAAAUUAUAUUACUAAGGAAAGACAAUACCUGAGUGCAUGUUCCCAACACUAUUCUAGUCAAUGGGGAUUCAGCAAUAAACUCAACCGAAUCCCUGCUUCAUGGAACUUGAUAUUUUAGUUGGGGGCUGGCAGCGGGGGGUAAGGUGGAAGAGUAGAAAAUAAGUACCUAAAAUACAUCAGGUGGUGAGUGGUAUGAAGAAAGAAAGUGAUGAGGACAAUCACUUAAUUCUUAAUCACGGUGGGACAUCUUGUAAUGGAAUAUAUGCAGCUAUUGGAAAGCAUGCAACACAUCUGUAUGUACUUGAUACGAAAAGAGUGCCAGGUAAAAAAGCAAAGUACUAAACAACGUAUAGAAUGUACAUUUUGUGUAAGGAAGGAGGAGAUAAUGAACUUGUAUAAUGGCACUUCCUCAUAUGUGCAGAGAGAAACACUGCAAGUAUUGGUAGGUGACCAGGAUGGGCUGCACUGGGCUGCACAGAACUAUGUAGAAAGUGUGAUCCAAUUACACUAAAUUCCAUUUACAGGCACACAAAUACACAUGCACAAAAAGAGGUCUGUGAGGGUAAACACCAAACCAUUGCAACUGGGAGAAGAUGUUUACUCUCUUACUUUGCAUGCUUCUCUAUAGUUGGCUCCAUUACAGUACUUCUGUAAUUAAAAAAAAAAAAAAACCCUGCAACCUGACCUAGAGAGGUAGGUAUUAUCCCUGUUACAGUUGAGGAAAUUAGCUCCAACAGGAGCUGUGGCUGGUCUGAGGUCAAAUGGUAGAGCUGUUUCUGGUGGAGCCCUUUCCUCCUCACUCCCCAGUGCCAAAAUAGUGGGGGUGAACUCUGGGCUAGGCGCUCUGGGCAGAUGACCUGUCCAGCAGAGGCCUCAGUAGCCAAAGGCUCGAUAAGCUGGGGUCUGGCGACAGCUCUCUCCCCUUCCAGGGUACCAAGGCCCUGGGGAGGCAAAAGCCAGCAAGGUGGUGGUGCUGAAGUCUUAGAAAGGGUGAACACUGCCCUCAUUCUGCACGAGUUCAAGGUCUGGGAGCCCUGCUCCGUUACUGCAAAACCCCAAUGUUUAUGCAUUAGCUAUUGAGCUACUCCCUCCCUGGCCUGGAGGCUGGAUGGCAGAGCCUUAGGCUCCACUCCAUGCCUCCCACGGAGGAGGCCGGAGGCCGGUAACAACUGGAGGUUUGUUUUGGUGACCAGGCCUAGACACAGCCUCUCUGAGCCCAUAGUUUCAACCAGGAGCCUUCUCAACCUCUACCAUUCUGGGACGCAGGUUACCAAACUGAGUGGCUUUGUCACCUCUCUGCCCAGGAGUGAGGUGGGGGAGGGGUGAGGUUGCAGGUCCCAAGCCAAUGCUGCACACCUCCCCUUUGUCCCAGGCCUCCCCAGCUCUGCCAGCUAGGGUGGGAGGGGGAGACAACUGGAUGCCUGUACCCUUGGAGCUCGAGCAAAGCUCUAGGCCCUGACAUCCUGUGACCAGGAGGCACUGGGUAAAGCUGAGCUCCUUGAAGUCACAAGCUGAUUACAGGGGGAUUGGGGGUUGACCCAGCUCCAGGCCAGGUAGGGUUGGUCCCGGAACGGCUCAGCAUGGGACAGGGAUCAUCAUGGAGAUGUUUACGAUGUCCGUACACCCAAACUGGACGUGCAAAGGGUCCUUCCACUGAAAAUAGCCGCCACCCUGCUUGAGGGCACUGGGCAGUCUCGCCACAACCACCAUGCGGAGUGAACCUCCAUUUUACAGGGAAGAAAACCGAGGCUCUGAGGAAGGCCACUUCCCCAAGGUCAUAGUCUUAUGAGGAUGUGUUUUGUUUCCAUUCACAGAAGGCUUUCAGUUGUCAAAUUAUAUCUAAUCCAACUAUUAGACUGCACCCAGAAAGAGGUUGGAACGUCUGGGAGUCUGGGAACUCCUGCUCAUUUGGGGGGAGGCAGGGCAGCCACAUCGGUUGACCCAUCUCUGGGCCUGGCACUCUCACCCACGGGCUACUCUGCAAACCAGCUUCCUGACAAAACCCCUACUGGAGAACUAGCCAGCGGGAACUUUAAUGAUUUACCCAACCAAGCGAUACAGCCCGGGCAUCCUGGGACUCCCCAAAAGCUCAUGUUGCCCGAAUGCCAGACUUCUGGACAGAGGCUGCAACCCAGGUAGCAGGUCACCUGGGGCCCAGGUAGGUGCAAUGCAUCCUGGGAAUCCAGAGAAACAAGGGAUAUCUAUGGAGCAUCCAUGGGGACAGACACAUUUAUUUCUGAAUUCUUACAGACACUCUAAUGACGAAAAUGACAUCAUUCUGCAGACGUGGCAACUGAGCUAAGCUGGAAUUCAAAACCACAAAUGCAGGACUUCAAAAGCCUAUGCUCUUCCGUACCACUGAGGGGCUGAGGAACCCCACGGGUUUCUCAUUUCUCCUUUGUCUGGAGGGCGGAGCGGCAGAGUCCUGGGGCACCACUGGGGCGCCAGGAGGGACUAGUUGGGAGUUCUUCACAAAGGGCUGGGUGAGACAUCUGGGGGCAGGGCUCACCCUCAUCUGCUGCCCAGGACGGAGCAUGAGCAAAGCGCUGGCUGGGACAGGAGGGUCUUCAACCUGUCUCCUCCCUACUUCCUACUCAGUUAAACUCAGCACAGUGAGACGCAGAGGAGCACGACAGAACGCAGGAAAGUCAGCUGAGUCAACUGAGAAGAUGAGGAGGAACACAGCCGAAGGAACUUCAGAACUAGACACACCUGGUUUUAAGACCUUGGGCAAGUGAUAUAACUUCUCCAGGCCUCAGUUUAACCUCUUGCACAAAAGGGCUGGGCUUGCUGAGUGAAUCAGCAGCUCCAAAGGAAAGAGCUUUUUUCUACAAUGUAUACAGGAUGAUUCAUAGAAAGU
RNA transcript from Balaenoptera ricei (Rice's whale), 4790 nucleotides. It is a transcript of the gene named zinc finger protein 691, with no coding region annotated. Lineage: Eukaryota; Metazoa; Chordata; Mammalia; Artiodactyla; Balaenopteridae. The record is from RefSeq and is a predicted model, not a curated record. The transcript has 6 exons.